This 612-nucleotide ribosomal RNA is filed under the name uncultured Acidobacteriota bacterium. RNAcentral's name for it is "bacterial SSU rRNA". It matches the Rfam family "Bacterial small subunit ribosomal RNA", at positions 28 to 620 of the family's 1533-position model. Lineage: Bacteria; Pseudomonadati; Acidobacteriota. The record is from RNAcentral.
AAUCAACGCUGGCGGCGUGCCUAACACAUGCAAGUCGAACGCGAAAGGGGCUUCGGCCCUGAGUAGAGUGGCGAACGGGUGAGUAACACGUGGGUGAUCUACCUUCGAGUGGGGGAUAACGUCCCGAAAGGGACGCUAAUACCGCAUGAUGUUCCGGGUUUGAAAACCUGGAAACCAAAGCCGGGGACCGCAAGGCCUGGCGCUUAAAGAGGACCCCGCGUCCGAUUAGCUAGUUGGCGGGGUAAUGGCCCACCAAGGCGACGAUCGGUAGCCGGCCUGAGAGGGCGGACGGCCACACUGGAACUGAGACACGGUCCAGACUCCUACGGGAGGCAGCAGUGGGGAAUUGUUCACAAUGGGCGCAAGCCUGAUGACGCAACGCCGCGUGGGGGAUGAAGGUCUUCGGAUUGUAAACCCCUGUCGAAUGGGACGAAAGACCCGGGAGCUAAUCAUCCUGGGAGUGACGGUACCGUUAAAGGAAGCCACGGCUAACUCUGUGCCAGCAGCCGCGGUAAUACAGAGGUGGCAAGCGUUGUUCGGAAUUACUGGGCGUAAAGGGCGCGUAGGCGGCCAUCUAAGUCAGACGUGAAAUCCCCCGGCUUAACCUGGGAA